CCACAUGUAUUGGCAAAUAAGUAACUUCAGGGAUACAAGUCUGUACAAGAGAGGAAACGUGCGCAAACAUGAACGAAACACACUGAAGAACACUUGACGUGUACACAAUGGAUUAGAGGGCCCACAUGCCAGAGCAAUCCAGCCCAAUCCAGCGUGGGUCCACGAGGGAAGAGGCCAAGGCUCACCACGGCAGCCCACCACGCAAAGGCGGUGGAGAGCCAGCCUAGCCCAGCGUUGGCCGAUGGGGUUCGGCCGAGCAUAGAUAGGCAGUUCUCGCCCUCAUCCUCCAUGUAGCGGUGCCUGGUUGACUGAGGAUGGCGGUGGGAGAAGAUUCCUCAAAGAUACCUCCCAAGAAUCGCCCUCAACCAUCUAUAAAAGGAGGAGUAGACCCCCCCCUCUACACACACCACACUUGAAGCCUCUCUCCCUCUCUCUCUCUCUCUCUUGUUACUCAUGUAAUCCUUAGGCUAGUGGAGCUAGACUAGAGCUGAAACUCUUGUAGUGCUAAGUUAGUCUUUAGGUCGGUUGGGGACGUAACCUCCAGCUCUCGGUAUGGCUUUGUACUCGACUCGUCGGUAUCCUACCUAUAAAGAGUAUGGUUGUUUUGCUAUUUCGGUAGUAUGCUAUGCCAUGACAUGUGCUUUAUUAAGUUAUACUCAUAUGCUUAGGCUGAAUCUAUGUUACUGCAUCGUUUCGUUGUGCCUUCGGGCUUGCUCUAGUUCUGUGCCUGUCAAUCAUCAUGGUCGGGGUUGUGAAGGGGCUAGAGUAGUGAUCACGUAUACGAGCAUGGUGCUCGGGCGCAUUAGGAUCCAUCGAAUAUGACUGUGCCCCAUGAUCUGAGGGGUGGGCGGCAGGUAGUGACAGCCCUGUCCGUCCCUUGUAGUCCCCCACGUUCGGGUAUGGUGUAGGAGUUCUGAAAGAUAUAUUGCCUUGGUAGACCAGAACCGGUUAUUCUCCCCGUAAUGCUAUAUGCCUAGAGUUAGCUGUAAUUCUAUGCUUGUAUGACCCUUGCUAGUAUAGAUAGAUGCCACUAGGACCUCUUGUACACCUUGCUCUCGCUAACCUUAGGUUUAUCCUUUUGUUCUUUAUUCAUGAGAUUGGCUUACCCCUGUAUGAACUUUAGUCUAUUAUUUAAGCUUAUGAUCCUGAAUAUGUAUUCGAUAAAUCCUUUUACACCAAUGCCAUCCUUUGGAAAAAUAUAAAUAACGAUACCCUAAAUACUCUUCGAGUGAAAUGCUACAACGGUAUAUCCGUGCGCUUGCGGAUUUAUUUGUGACGUUAAGAAAUAUCAACACACCCCCACCGGGCUCUCCACCGUCACCAUCCCUCCGGCAGUGGUCCUCCCAUUCCUUUUGCUGAUUCUCGGUGAGGCUCUUGAC
RNAcentral lists this long non-coding RNA (1379 nucleotides) under Setaria viridis. RNAcentral describes it as "long non-coding RNA (SVIR_LNC002117)". The record is from RNAcentral. Lineage: Eukaryota; Viridiplantae; Streptophyta; Magnoliopsida; Poales; Poaceae.